RNAcentral lists this ribosomal RNA (560 nucleotides) under uncultured marine eukaryote. Its description in RNAcentral is "SSU rRNA". It matches the Rfam family "Eukaryotic small subunit ribosomal RNA", at positions 616 to 1175 of the family's 1831-position model. The record is from RNAcentral.
CGGUUAAAAAGCUCGUAGUUGGAUCUCGGCGGGCAGGGGGUGGUUCGCUCUUCAGCGCUACUGCCCCGCUUUGCCCGUGUGAUUGGCGGAGGUUUCGGGGUGCUCUUCGUUGAGUGACUCGGAGCGCCGUCAGGUUCACUUUGAAAAAAUUAGAGUGCUCAAAGCAGGCUUUUCACGCUUGAAUAUUCGUGCAUGGAAUAAUGGAAUAGGAACUCGUUUCUAUUUUGUUGGUUUUCGGAAAUCGAGUUAAUGAUUAACAGGGACAAUUGGGGGCAUUAGUAUUCAGACGACAGAGGUGAAAUUCUUGGACCGUCUGAAGACUGACUACUGCGAAAGCAUUUGCCAAGAGUGUUUUCAUUAAUCAAGAACGAAAGUUAGAGGUUCGAAGGCGAUCAGAUACCGCCCUAGUUCUAACCAUAAACGAUGCCAGCUAGCGAUCUGCCGAGUUUUUUUUGUAGGCUCCGCAGGAAGCUUUCGGGAAACCAAAGCUUUUGGGUUCCGGGGGAAGUAUGGUUGCAAAGCUGAAACUUAAAGGAAUUGACGGAAGGGCACCACCAGGA